RNAcentral lists this transfer RNA (76 nucleotides) under Verrucomicrobiota bacterium. RNAcentral describes it as "Verrucomicrobia bacterium (marine sediment metagenome) tRNA-Arg". It matches the Rfam family "tRNA". From Rfam's summary of the family: Transfer RNA (tRNA) molecules are approximately 80 nucleotides in length. Lineage: Bacteria; Pseudomonadati; Verrucomicrobiota. The record is from RNAcentral.
GCUGCCGUGGUCGAAUACAUCAGGCAUCCGACUUCUAAGCGGAACGAUGCAGGUGGAAAUCCUGCCGGCAGCGCCA